AGCGACGUAGAGCAGUGGUCAGCUCGCCGGGCUCAUAACCCGAGAGGUCGCAGGUUCGAAUCCUGCCGUCGCAA
Molecule: transfer RNA, 74 nt
Filed under: Micromonospora sp. ATCC 39149
Lineage: Bacteria; Bacillati; Actinomycetota; Actinomycetes; Micromonosporales; Micromonosporaceae
Rfam family: tRNA
About the family: Transfer RNA (tRNA) molecules are approximately 80 nucleotides in length.
Source: Rfam by way of RNAcentral